UACGGGGGGGGCAAGCGUUGUUCGGAAUUACUGGGCGUAAAGGGCGCGUAGGCGGUCCGCUAAGUUGAAUGUGAAAACUCUGGGCUUAACCCAGAGCCUGCAUUCAAUACUGGCGGGCUAGAGUUCUGGAGGGGAUAGCGGAAUUCCUGGUGUAGCGGUGAAAUGCGUAGAUAUUAGGAGGAACACCGGUGGCGAAGGCGGCUAUCUGGACAGAGUCUGACGCUGAGGCGCGACAGCUAGGGGAGCAAACAGG
RNAcentral lists this ribosomal RNA (253 nucleotides) under uncultured bacterium. Its description in RNAcentral is "partial 16S ribosomal RNA". It matches the Rfam family "Bacterial small subunit ribosomal RNA", at positions 524 to 776 of the family's 1533-position model. The record is from RNAcentral.